This 465-nucleotide ribosomal RNA is filed under the name uncultured bacterium. RNAcentral describes it as "partial 16S ribosomal RNA". It matches the Rfam family "Bacterial small subunit ribosomal RNA", at positions 338 to 795 of the family's 1533-position model. The record is from RNAcentral.
CCUACGGGUGGCAGCAGUGGGGAAUAUUGCGCAAUGGGCGAAAGCCUGACGCAGCGACGCCGCGUGAGUGAUGAAGGUCUUCGGAUCGUAAACCUCUGUCAGCAGGGAAGAACGGUCACUUUGCUAAUCAGCAGUGAAUUGAUGGUACCUGCAAAGGAAGCACCGGCUAACUCCGUGCCAGCAGCCGCGGCAAUACGGAGGGUGCGAGCGUUAAUCGGAAUUACUGGGCGUAAAGCGCGCGUAGGCGGUAUGGCAAGUCAAGGGUGAAAUCCCCGCGCUCAACGUGGGAACUGCCUUUGAAACUGGCAGACUGGAGUGUGUGAGAGGAUAGUGGAAUUCCAGGUGUAGGGGUGAAAUCCGUAGAUAUCUGGAGGAACAUCAGUGGCGAAGGCGACUAUCUGGCACAUAACUGACGCUGAGGAGCGAAAGCGUGGGGAGCAAACAGGAUUAGAUACCCGUGUAGUC